Molecule: ribosomal RNA, 420 nt
Filed under: uncultured fungus
Lineage: Eukaryota; Fungi
Description: eukaryotic LSU rRNA
Rfam family: Eukaryotic large subunit ribosomal RNA
Source: RNAcentral
GACCUCGGAUCAGGUAGGGAUACCCGCUGAACUUAAGCAUAUCAAUAAGCGGAGGAAAAGAAACCAACAGGGAUUGCCUUAGUAACGGCGAGUGAAGCGGCAACAGCUCAAAUUUGAAAUCUGACUUUACGGUCCGAGUUGUAAUUUGUAGAGGAUGUUUCGAACGUGGUCCGGUCUAAGUUCCUUGGAACAGGACGUCACAGAGGGUGAGAAUCCCGUAUGCGACUGGGUGCCUAAGUUUAUGUGAAGCUCCUUCGACGAGUCGAGUUGUUUGGGAAUGCAGCUCAAAAUGGGUGGUAAAUUUCAUCUAAAGCUAAAUAUUGGCCAGAGACCGAUAGCGCACAAGUAGAGUGAUCGAAAGAUGAAAAGCACUUUGGAAAGAGAGUUAAACAGUACGUGAAAUUGUUGAAAGGGAAGCGC